RNAcentral lists this long non-coding RNA (1038 nucleotides) under Chloebia gouldiae (Gouldian finch). RNAcentral describes it as "Erythrura gouldiae (Gouldian finch) lncRNA (ENSEGOG00005008825.1)". The record is from RNAcentral. Lineage: Eukaryota; Metazoa; Chordata; Aves; Passeriformes; Passeridae.
GGGGAAAAAAGUACCAUCUGUGACUGAAAGGGCAGAGAUCUGACUGAUUUACCAGUCAGCUGAUCUGAUUGCACAGAGGGAGGUGAGUAAGCUGAUCUAUGGGAAAAAGAGUAGUAACAUUGGACAGAAUGCAGGAAAUGAUUUGAAAAUGUUAAGGCAAGCUUGAUCCAUAGUGGAAGUUAGAGUUUUGAGAAAUCAUCUCAGAAUGAAAAGUAUGUCUCACUGGGACUGCCCAGAAGACUAAAUGGGGAAUUAUGUAAGCUUCACAGUUGAAAUAGCAUCAUAGAGGGCUGCAUCCUCUCAUCUUCUCCGUCAGAAAAGCAUGUGUCCUUCUUGGGGCACUGAAAACCAUGGAUGGACUGAAACAGCUGUGAACCUCUGCCAAAGCCUGUCCACCAUCAGAGCAUCAGUGGGAGAAGGUGCACGUGUUCAUUGCACACUGAGUGGAGCAGCGCCUCUCAGUCCUGCACAAAAGGUAUUCCGAGGAGCAACUCACCUUGGGGAAACAGCACUGGUCUCACCUGAAAUGUCUUUCUUUGACUCAGAUCCAAAAUGAAAGCAUCACGCUCUACCUACUUUUUCAACCAAAGUUGGAACUAAAGAGUCUCAGUUUCCUCAGACCUGUGGCCCAAAACAUUUGCUAUGGCACAUGUGACAGUGAUUCCUGUCCUGCUGAUAUUAAGCUUUUUCCAGCAUAAGACACUGUUUUCCCCAAUCCUGGCAAGGGAACAAGAAGACAUAAAGGAUGCACUUAGGCUACAUAAUGUUCUGUGGACCACCGAGGACAAUACAAGAAUUACUUUGUCCUGGAACAAUAACCUGACAAAAGAAGAAACCAGGAAAUACACUGUGAAGUACAUUUUGAUUUAUAAGUUCUUCAAUACCACUAAGGCAAGGAAAGAAAGACUGCAGGAGAAGGAAAAGAUAAUACAUCUUAAGUUACACUCUGGUUUUAAUGCUAAAGUUAAGACACAGCUUUUUGCAAAAGAAACAGAAAACAUAAUUAAGGAGAGUGACUGGACAGAAUUUACUUACAAG